RNAcentral lists this unclassified non-coding RNA (292 nucleotides) under plant metagenome. RNAcentral describes it as "partial contains 5.8S ribosomal RNA, internal transcribed spacer 2, and large subunit ribosomal RNA". The stretch from base 1 to 105 matches the Rfam family "5.8S ribosomal RNA", at positions 50 to 154 of the family's 154-position model. The record is from RNAcentral.
GAACCGCGAUAAUUGAUGUGAAUUGCAGAAUUGCGUGAUCAUUGAUGUCUUGAAUGCAAAUGGCGGGAGUCCCUUUACGGUACUCCCGUUGACGAAAGAGCGCGAAUACCUUAUUUCGAACUCCUCUCGGGGGGAUUGAGUAUAUGGCAUUUGCCUUGAAAGGGUGGCGUAUGCUAAAAAACGACCUUCGGUACUUCAAGUUGGAGUAAUCUAAUAAACGAGUACCCUGAAAUCGUCUGUACACUUUACCUUAUUAACCUCUUUCGUCAACGACUACCCACCGAACUUAAGC